UACGAAGGGUGCUAGCGUUGUUCGGAAUCACUGGGCGUAAAGCGUGCGCAGGCUGCUUUUUAAGUCAGGGGUGAAAUGCCUGGGCUCAACCCAGGAACUGCCUUUGAAACUGAAAAGCUUGAGACUCGGAGGGGGUGGCGGAAUUCCUAAUGUAGCGGUGAAAUGCGUAGAUAUUAGGAGGAACACCAGUGGCGAAGGCGGCCACCUGGACGAGUACUGACGCUCAUGCACGAAAGCGUGGGGAUCAAACAGG
RNAcentral lists this ribosomal RNA (253 nucleotides) under uncultured bacterium. Its description in RNAcentral is "partial 16S ribosomal RNA". It matches the Rfam family "Bacterial small subunit ribosomal RNA", at positions 524 to 776 of the family's 1533-position model. The record is from RNAcentral.